GGAAUUAUGCCCGAAUGUUCAAGGACCACUUUGAUGGGGUGGUAAAUGAGGGUUCAAGUCCCCCUAAUUCCU
Molecule: transfer RNA, 72 nt
Filed under: Monacoa grimaldii (mirrorbelly)
Lineage: Eukaryota; Metazoa; Chordata; Actinopteri; Argentiniformes; Opisthoproctidae
Description: tRNA-Ile
Rfam family: tRNA
About the family: Transfer RNA (tRNA) molecules are approximately 80 nucleotides in length. Their secondary structure includes four short double-helical elements and three loops (D, anti-codon, and T loops). Further hydrogen bonds mediate the characteristic L-shaped molecular structure. tRNAs have two regions of fundamental functional importance: the anti-codon, which is responsible for specific mRNA codon recognition, and the 3' end, to which the tRNAs corresponding amino acid is attached (by aminoacyl-tRNA synthetases). tRNAs cope with the degeneracy of the genetic code in two manners: having more than one tRNA (with a specific anti-codon) for a particular amino acid; and 'wobble' base-pairing, i.e. permitting non-standard base-pairing at the 3rd anti-codon position.
Source: RNAcentral